ACUUAAGUAGUUUAAUAUACAAUAAUGAUUUGUGGAAUCAUAGAUGUAAAAUGUACCUUGGGUU
RNAcentral lists this transfer RNA (64 nucleotides) under Stenotoxodera porioni. RNAcentral's name for it is "tRNA-His". Lineage: Eukaryota; Metazoa; Arthropoda; Insecta; Mantodea; Toxoderidae. The record is from RNAcentral.